UUAUUACUUAUCAGUAGUUUUCUCUUGUUUUGAAAUAGAAGAACAUGGAGACGAAAUUAAAUCAAAUCAAGUCAAGGUUUCGAAUUUGAAAUUGGGGUUAUUGGGGUUUCUCUUCUUCUAUCACAAGUUCAAGUUAGGUUUUCUUUUAUCAAAUUCAGAAGAAAUCAAAUUGGGGUUUCGAAUUUGAAAUUGGGGUUGUUGGGGUUUCUCUUCUUCCAUCAUCAAGUUCAAGUUUGUUUUUUUUUUUUUUAUCAAAUUCAGAAGAAAUCAAAUUGGGGUUGUUGGGGUUUCUUUUCUUCCAUCAUCAAGUUAAAGUUAGGUUUUCUUUUAUCAAAUUCAGAAGAAAUUAAAUUGGGGUUUCGAAUUUGAAAUUGGGGUUGUUGGGGUUUCUCUUCUUCCAUCAUCAACUUCAAGUUUUUUUUUUUUUUAUCAAAUUCAGAAGAAAUCAAAUUGGGUUUUCAAUUUUCACAACAAGAUCAUCAUCAUCACCACUGAAUUUGGGCGAAAUUGGGGUUUUCAAUUUGCACAACAAGAUCAUCAUCAUCAUCGCCACUGAAUUUGGUCGACAUUGGGGUUUUCAAUUUGCACAACAAGAUCAUCGUCAUCAUCGCCACUGAAUUUGGGGUUUUCUUUUUGCACAACAAGAUCAUCAUCAUCAUCGCCACUAAAUUUGGGCGAAAUUAGGGUUUCAAGGUUAGUUCUUCUUAACAAUUUCAUGUUUCUCGAUCUCUUAUUAAUUUGUGAGAAGAAUUGUGAUUGUUUCAUUCUUGAUGUUGGUGAUAAUUGUGAUUGUUUACUUCUUUUCUCAUGUUGUUAGAAACCAAGUUGAUGAAUUGUCAUUGUUUUUUUUUUUAUCUUUGUGAGAAGAAUUUUGAUUGUUUCAUUCUUGAUGUUGGUGGUAAUUGUGAUUGUUUCGUUCUUCUCUCAUGUUGUUAGAAAACAAGUUGAUAAAUUGUCAUUGUUUCUUUCUUUAUCUUUGUGAGAAGAAUUGUGAUUGUUUCAUUUUUGAUGUUGGUGGUAAUUGUGGUUGUUUCGUUCUAAUCUCAUGUUGUUAUUUGUUUUAUUCUUUCCUUCUUGAUGUUGUUAGAAAACAACUUGGCAAAUUGAUGGCUUGGUUUUGGUUUCUAUUUAGUUUCUGAUUGAUUCUUUUGUUCUUGAUGUUGUUAUUGAUGAAUUGUGAUUGUUGGUGGUAAUUGUGAUUGUUUCGUUCUUGAUGUUGCUAGAAAACAACUUGGCAAAUUGAUGGCUUGGUUUUGGUCUCUAUUUAGUUUCAGAUUGAUUCUCUUGUUCUUGAAGUUGUUAUUGAUGAAUUGUGAUUGUUGGUGGUAAUUGUGAUUGUUUCGUUCUUGAUGUAGCUAGAAAACAACUUGUGAAGAAUUGUAAUUGUUACCUUCUUUAUCAUUUUUCUCUGAUGUUAUUGAUCAUUAUAGACCAGUGAAUUUAGCCAAAAUAUGGGUUUGUUUGAAUUGUAAUUAUUGUUUGGUAAUUAGGGUUUGUUUGUUUGAUUCUUUCUUUCUUUCGUUCUUGAUGUUGUUAGAAAACAACUUGGUAGAUUGAUGGUUUGGUUCUGGUUUCAAUCUACUUUGUGAUUGAUUCUUUUGUUCUUGAUGUUGUUAUGAAUUGUGAACUUGCUACUCAUGUUGUUUGUAGUUAUUAUGCAUUCUUAUAGGUUCUGUCUUCAAGGGUUUGUUGAUGUUUAUACAUUCUUAUAGUAGGAGAUGAUGAUACGGGUUUAUUUGAGUAUAUAGGCUUUGUUGUUAUUGAUGUUAGAAAACAAGUUGAGAAUUGUGAUUGGCAAAUUGAUGCCGUUAUAUGUUUGAUUCUUUCGUUCUUGAUGUUGUUAGAAAACAACUUGGCAAAUUGAUGUUUGGUUGUGGUUUGUAACUUUGUAUCUAGCUAGUUAUUGAUGUUAGGAAACAAGUUGAGAAUUGUGAUUGUCAAUCUCAUUCUUGUCUCAUAUCUAGGUUUAUCUGAGUAUACAUUUGUUGUUUGAUUUGAAUCAUAGUAAUUUGUUGUUUGAGGGAAGUUUGUGAUUAAUUAUCAUGUUCAUCUAUGCUUAUGUACUAUGGAAAGUAGAUUAAUCCUGCAUGUUUUUUUUAUUUCUUCUCAUUUGUAGUAAUUGCAAAUAUAGUAUACUGUACAACACUCCUCAAGUUACAAAUUGUUUGUAGACUUGGCCAUGGUCUGUACUCUGUAAUCAAUUAGGCAUGUGGGUGUAACUGGGGUUUGGCAUUUUGAAUGUGGCAGACUUGGUAGUUAUCUGAUGGUUUUUAUGAUCUUGCUUAAUUGUGAAUGAUGUCACAACAAAUUAGUUAGAAGGUAAUUACAAUCAUCACCUCCUUUCUCAUAUCUCCUUUUAUAUAAUGUUAAAUAAUUGGCAAAUGCUUCCUUUAUGCGGUGUAUACCAUAUACGUAAUACUUGCUUGACUGUGCUUAGGAGCUGAUAUUUGAAUUGCUUCCUCACAUCUUGGUUGGAAGAUUAAAUAGAGGUUUCAGUUUGCACAAUUUGUAGCCUAGAAUGCAGGGUACUUUCAUAAAGCACAAUAUAUUGUGCUUGUUGAAAAGUUAUGUUCUGAAUAUGACCAAAAUGUUUUUAUUUUUUGGUAAUGUUAGGAUCUGUUUUGGUAAUGUUAGGAUCUGUUUUGGUAAUGUUAGGAUCUGUUUUUUAUUUUUUGGUAAUGUUUUUAUUGUUUGGAAAGUGGAUUAAUUCUGCUUGUUAGAAAAGAAGUUGGCAGAUUGAUGGUUUGGUUCUGGUUUCAAUCUAGUUUGUGAUUGAUUCUUUUGUUCUUGAUGUUGUUAUUGAUGAAUUGUGAACUUGCUACUCAUGUUGUUUGUAGUUAUUAUACAUUCUUAUAGGUCCUGUCUUCAAGGGUUUGUUGAUGUUUAUGAACCAGUGAAUGAGUAAUUAUCAUGUUAAAUUGUGGCAAAUUUGUGGAAGAUGAUAUGGGUUUAUCUGAGUAUAUAGGUUUUGUUGUUAUUGAUGUUAGAAAACAAGUUUGAGAAUUGUGAUUGGCAAAUUGAUGUUGUUAUCUGUUUGAUUCUUUCGUUCUUGAUGUUGUUAGAAAACAACUUAGCAAAUUGAUGUUUGGUUGUGGUUUCUAUCUAGUUAUUGAUGUUAGAAAACAAGUUGAGAAUUGUGAUUGUCAAUCUCAUUCUUGUCUGAUAUCUAGGUUUAUCUGAGUAUAUAGUAAUUUGUUGUUUAUUUGAAUUAGUAAAUAGUAAUUUGUUGUUUGAGUGAAGUUUGUGAUUAAUUAUCAUGUUGUUGGUCUAUACUUAUAUAGUAUGGAAAGUAGAUUAAUCCUGCAUGUUUGUUUUUAUUUCUUCUCAUUUGUAGUUGCAAGAUAGUAUACUGUAUAAGCACUCCUCAAAUUACAAGUCGUUUGCAGACUUGACCAUGGUUUGUACUCUGUAAUCAAUUAGGCAUGUGGGUGUAACUAGGGUCUGUCAUUUUGAAUGUGGCAGGCUUGGUAGUUAUCUGAUAGUAUUUAUGAUCUAGCUUAAUUGUGAUUGAUGUCAUAGCAAAUUAGUUACAAUCAUCGUCCCUUUCUCACAUCUCCUGUUAUAUUAUGUUAAAUAAUUUGCAAAUGCUUCCUUUAUGCGGUGUAUACCGUAUACGUAAUACUUGCGUGAAUGUGCUUAGAAUCUGAUACUUGAAUUGUUUCUUCACAUCCAGGUUGGAGGAUUAAAUAGAGGUUUCAGUUAGCAUAAUUUGUAGCCUAGAAUGCAG
This 3727-nucleotide long non-coding RNA is filed under the name Aquilegia coerulea. RNAcentral describes it as "long non-coding RNA (ACOE_LNC001746)". The record is from RNAcentral. Lineage: Eukaryota; Viridiplantae; Streptophyta; Magnoliopsida; Ranunculales; Ranunculaceae.